UACGGAGGGUGCGAGCGUUAAUCGGAAUUACUGGGCGUAAAGCGCGCGUAGGCGGUUUGUUAAGUUUGAUGUGAAAGCCCUGGGCUUAACCUGGGAACGGCAUUGGAUACUGGCAGACUGGAGUGUGGUAGAGGGGUGUGGAAUUUCCGGUGUAGCAGUGAAAUGCGUAGAGAUCGGAAGGAACACCAGUGGCGAAGGCGGCACCCUGGACCAACACUGACGCUGAGGUGCGAAAGCGUGGGGAGCAAACAGG
Molecule: ribosomal RNA, 253 nt
Filed under: uncultured bacterium
Lineage: Bacteria
Description: partial 16S ribosomal RNA
Rfam family: Bacterial small subunit ribosomal RNA
Source: RNAcentral